Molecule: long non-coding RNA, 827 nt
Organism: Oncorhynchus tshawytscha (Chinook salmon)
Lineage: Eukaryota; Metazoa; Chordata; Actinopteri; Salmoniformes; Salmonidae
Source: Ensembl
AGAGUGUAGAGGAGGCAGGUAGCCUAGUGGUUAGAGGAGGCAGGUAGCCUAGUGGUUAGAGUAAAGAGGAGGCAGGUAGACUAGUGGUUAGAGUGUAGAGGUGGCAGGUAGACUAGUGGUUAGAGUGUAGAGGAGGCAGGUAGCCUAGUGGUUAGAGUGUAGAGGAGGCAGGUAGCCUAGUGGUUAGAGUGUGGAGGAGGCAGGUAGCCUAGUGGUUAGAGUGUAGAGGAGGCAGGUAGCCUAGUGGUUAGAGUGUAGAGGAGGCAGGUAGCCUAGUGGUUAGAGUGUAGAGGAGGCAGGUAGCCUAGUGGUUAGAGUGUAGAGGAGGCAGGUAGACUAGUGGUUAGAGUGUAGAGGUGGCAGGUAGUCUAGUGGUUAGAGUGUAGAGGAGGCAGGUAGACUAGUGGUUAGAGUGUAGAGGAGGCAGGUAGCCUAGUGGUUAGAGUGUAGAGGAGGUAGGUAGUCUAGUGGUUAGAGUGUAGAGGAGGCAGGUAGACUAGUGGUUAGAGUGUAGAGGAGGCAGGUAGUCUAGUGGUUAGAGGAGGCAGGUAGCCUAGUGGUUAGAGUAGGCCGUAAUUGUAAAUAAGAAUUUGUUCUUAACGGACUAGUUAAAUACUGGUUAAAUGAAUAAACAUGUAAAGUCUGACUGUGUCCUGGCUCUAGCUGUGGUGUGUUGGGAGCGGUUAGAGUUGGGUUGUCUGCUGGUCGUUGUCUCUCCAUCACUCUCACUGGAGCUCACAAUACGCUGGGCCUUCCGACCAGCACGCCUCAACAAUGGCUUCCUAAAACACACACACAGGUCAGAUAGAGACAGACGGGUCAGAUCG